This is a long non-coding RNA of Suricata suricatta (meerkat), 698 nucleotides long. RefSeq lists it as uncharacterized. NCBI's taxonomy places the organism in Eukaryota, Metazoa, Chordata, Mammalia, Carnivora, Herpestidae. The record is from RefSeq and is a predicted model, not a curated record. The transcript is spliced from 3 exons.
UUCUUGAUGCCAGCCAGGAGUCACCUUCCUAGAUGGUGCCUGACGUGGAGUACAUUUGCGCUGCCUCUCCUGGAAGGAAUCGAUGCUAACCUGCGGCUUUUGGAUCGAUGCUAACCUGCGGCUUCAUCAUUUGGACCUCUGGCCCCUUCUUUGCUAGGAGGCAGGAUUUGAAGCCAAUAUUCACAAGAUGAAGUUUGGAUGAGAAGCAACACAAGAGGGUAUAAAACACUGUCACAUUUUUUCAUGCUGGAAAAUAUUUCUUCCUUAUAGUAUUUCUUUAAAUAGCUCUUCACAAUAAGCAACCUCGGGGAAUAACAAGUGCAAGAAGACCUGGACCCAGCACAGAAAAUGAUCAAUGUGUGGACAUUGCGUCCUUGGACACAUCGCCACCUGCUCUGAUAUAGGAAAAGGAACUGAGUGUGAUAGGCUGAGCCUACGAAGGACGUUCUCAAGAGCCAUGCAGUGAACAGUAAGUUGCUGACUUUUCCAAAGCGUAACUCAGAGUGGCAUCCACACCAAAAGAGCAGCCCUUGCUUUUCCUUGCUCCAAACCACAUUGAGUCAAGCCACAAGUUGUUUGAAAAUGGUCGCAAUUUUCACAUUUUACAUUCCGUCUCCCCUUUUAAUAAAAGUGAGCAUACUUGUUUCAUGACUUCUUAACAAAAAAUAAAAAUUGAUACCAUGUGUUUUAAUAGUUAA